Molecule: long non-coding RNA, 413 nt
Filed under: Homo sapiens (human)
Lineage: Eukaryota; Metazoa; Chordata; Mammalia; Primates; Hominidae
Description: HSALNT0299305
Source: RNAcentral
CGAGAUCUUCACGGGAAGAAGAAGGAGGAGCUGCGGAAACAGCUGGAUGACCUGAAGGUGGAGCUGUCCCAGCUGCGCGUCGCCAAAGUGACAGGCGGUGCGGCCUCCAAGCUCUCUAAGAUCCGAGUCGUCCACAAAUCCAUUGCCCAUUUUCUCACAGUUAUUAACCAGACUCAGAAAGAAAACCUCAGGAAAUUCUACAAGGGCAAGAAGUACAAGCCCCUGGACCUGCGGCCUAAGAAGACACGCGCCACGCGCCACCGGCUCAACAAGCGCGAGGAGCACCUGAAGACCAAGAAGCAGCAGUGGAAGGAGCGGCUGUGCCUGCUGCGGAAAUCCAGUGGGCAGAGUCCGGGGCACUUUUGGUAAAGAGGAAUAUAUCACAACAGACUUAUCCAUUUUUAUGAUUUACC